UACGGAGGAUGCGAGCGUUAUCCGGAUUUAUUGGGUUUAAAGGGUGCGUAGGCGGGCUUUUAAGUCAGCGGUAAAAAUUCGGGGCUCAACCCCGUCCGGCCGUUGAGACUGGGGGUCUUGAGUGGGCGAGAAGGAGGCGGAAUGCGUGGUGUAGCGGUGAAAUGCAUAGAUAUCACGCAGAACCCCGAUUGCGAAGGCAGCCUUCCGGCGCCCUACUGACGCUGAGGCACGAAAGUGCGGGGAUCGAACAGG
Molecule: ribosomal RNA, 252 nt
Filed under: uncultured bacterium
Lineage: Bacteria
Description: partial 16S ribosomal RNA
Rfam family: Bacterial small subunit ribosomal RNA
Source: RNAcentral